GUAUAUUAAAGUUGUUGCAGUUAAAAAGCUCGUAGUUGGAUUUCUGUUAAUAAUUUAUAUAAAAUAUUUUGAUGAAUAUUUAUAUAAUAUUAACAUAAUUCAUAUUACUAUUUUUUUUUUUAGUAUAUGAAAUUUUACUUUGAGAAAAUUAGAGUGCUUAAAGCAGGCAUAUGCCUUGAAUACUCCAGCAUGGAAUAAUAUUAAAGAUUUUUAUCUUUUUUAUUGGUUCUAAGAUAAGAAUAAUGAUUAAUAGGGACAGUUGGGGGCAUUUGUAUUUAACAGUCAGAGGUGAAAUUCUUAGAUUUGUUAAAGACAAACUAAUGCGAAAGCAUUU
RNAcentral lists this ribosomal RNA (334 nucleotides) under Cryptosporidium hominis. RNAcentral describes it as "partial small subunit ribosomal RNA". It matches the Rfam family "Eukaryotic small subunit ribosomal RNA", at positions 599 to 956 of the family's 1831-position model. The record is from RNAcentral. Lineage: Eukaryota; Apicomplexa; Conoidasida; Eucoccidiorida; Cryptosporidiidae.